CACCUCUUAGGGUCGCUCCUGGAGAGUUUCCAGUAUUCUACCAGUCUCGACUAUGGGAUGCAGAGUCAAGCAGAGGCCUAUCCAUUCCAUUCCUAGAUUGGGCAGUGACUAGCGAGUGGAAGGUAAUCUGCUACAAGU
Molecule: small nucleolar RNA, 138 nt
Organism: Tachyglossus aculeatus (Australian echidna)
Lineage: Eukaryota; Metazoa; Chordata; Mammalia; Monotremata; Tachyglossidae
Source: RefSeq, a predicted model, not a curated record